RNAcentral lists this ribosomal RNA (383 nucleotides) under uncultured bacterium. RNAcentral describes it as "bacterial SSU rRNA". It matches the Rfam family "Bacterial small subunit ribosomal RNA", at positions 28 to 412 of the family's 1533-position model. The record is from RNAcentral.
GACGAACGCUGGCGGCGUGCUUAACACAUGCAAGUCGAGCGGUAAGGCCCUUUCGGGGGUACACGAGCGGCGAACGGGUGAGUAACACGUGGGUGACCUGCCCUUAGCUCUGGGAUAAGCCUGGGAAACUGGGUCUAAUACCGGAUAUGACUCCAUGACGCAUGUUGUGGGGUGGAAAGCCUUGUGCGGCUAGGGAUGGGCCUGCGGCCUAUCAGCUUGUUGGUGGGGUGANGGCCUACCAAGGCGACGACGGGUAGCCGGCCUGAGAGGGCGACCGGCCACACUGGGAACUGAGACACGGCCCAGACUCCUACGGGAGGCAGCAGUGGGGAAUCUUGCGCAAUGGGCGAAAGCCUGACGCAGCGACGCCGCGUGGGGAUGAC